This 301-nucleotide ribosomal RNA is filed under the name uncultured bacterium. Its description in RNAcentral is "partial 16S ribosomal RNA". It matches the Rfam family "Bacterial small subunit ribosomal RNA", at positions 509 to 807 of the family's 1533-position model. The record is from RNAcentral.
CAGCCGCCACGGGAAUACGUAGGGUGCAAGCGUUGUCCGGAAUUAUUUGGCGUAAAGAGCUCGUAGGCGGUUUGUCGCGUCUGCUGUGAAAACGCGAGGCUCAACCUCGCGCCUGCAGUGGGUACGGGCAGACUAGAGUGUGGUAGGGGAGAUUGGAAUUCCUGGUGUAGCGGUGGAAUGCGCAGAUAUCAGGAGGAACACCGAUGGCGAAGGCAGAUCUCUGGGCCAUUACUGACGCUGAGGAGCGAAAGCGUGGGGAGCGAACAGGAUUAGAUACCCCUGUAGUCCCUGUCUCUUAUAC